Molecule: ribosomal RNA, 447 nt
Filed under: uncultured bacterium
Lineage: Bacteria
Description: bacterial SSU rRNA
Rfam family: Bacterial small subunit ribosomal RNA
Source: RNAcentral
CUAAGAAUAUUCCGCAAUGGGGGAACCCUGACGGAGCGACGCCGCGUGGACGGUGAAGGCCGGAAGGUUGUAAAGUCCUUUUAUGGCAGAGGAAUAAGCGGGGGAGUGGAAAGCCCUCGCGGUGACUGUAGGCCAUGAAUAAGCAUCGGCUAACUCCGUGCCAGCAGCCGCGGUAAUACGGAGGAUGCAAGCGUUAUCCGGAUUUAUUGGGUUUAAAGGGUGCGUAGGCUGUUCUGCAAGUCAGCGGUGAAAGCCCGGGGCUCAACCCCGGAAAUGCCGUUGAUACUGCGGGGCUGGAAUACGGAUGCCGUGGGAGGAAUGAGUAGUGUAGCGGUGAAAUGCAUAGAUAUUACUCAGAACACCGAUUGCGAAGGCAUCUCACGAAUCCGUUAUUGACGCUGAGGCACGAAAGCGUGGGGAUCAAACAGGAUUAGAUACCCUGGUAGU